AGUGAACGCUGGCGGUAGGCCUAACACAUGCAAGUCGAACGGCAGCACAGUAAGAGCUUGCUCUUACGGGUGGCGAGUGGCGGACGGGUGAGGCAUACAUCGGAAUCUACUUUUUCGUGGGGGAUAACGUAGGACAACUUACGCUAAUACCGCAUACGAUCUACGGGUGAAAGCAGGGGAUCUUCGCACCUUGCGCGAUUGAAUGAGCCGAUGUCGGAUUAGCUAGUUGGCGGGGUAAAGGCCCACCAAGGCGACGAUCCGUAGCUGGUCUGAGAGGAUGAUCAGCCACACUGGAACUGAGACACGGUCCAGACUCCUACGGGAGGCAGCAGUGGGGAAUAUUGGACAAUGGGCGCAAGCCUGAUCCAGCCAUACCGCGUGGGUGAAGAAGGCCUUCGGAUUGUAAAGCCCUUUUGUUGGGAAAGAAAAGCAGCAGGUUAAUACCCCGCUGUUCUGACGGUACCCAAAGAAUAAGCACCGGCUAACUUCGUG
Molecule: ribosomal RNA, 492 nt
Filed under: uncultured bacterium
Lineage: Bacteria
Description: partial 16S ribosomal RNA
Rfam family: Bacterial small subunit ribosomal RNA
Source: RNAcentral